CAGGGCUUGACAUCCUACUAACGAACCAGAGAUGGAUUAGGUGCCCUUCGGGGAAAGUAGAGACAGGUGGUGCAUGGUUGUCGUCAGCUCGUGUCGUGAGAUGUUGGGUUAAGUCCCGCAACGAGCGCAACCCCUAUUGUUAGUUGCUACGCAAGAGCACUCUAGCGAGACUGCCGUUGACAAAACGGAGGAAGGUGGGGACGACGUCAAAUCAUCAUGCCCCUUACGUCCUGGGCCACACACGUACUACAAUGGCGGCCAACAAAGAGAGGCAAUACCGCGAGGUGGAGCAAAUCUCAAAAAGCCGUCCCAGUUCGGAUCGCAGGCUGCAACCCGCCUGCGUGAAGUUGGAAUCGCUAGUAAUCGCGGAUCAGCAUGCCGCGGUGAAUACGUUCCC
RNAcentral lists this ribosomal RNA (397 nucleotides) under uncultured bacterium. RNAcentral describes it as "bacterial SSU rRNA". It matches the Rfam family "Bacterial small subunit ribosomal RNA", at positions 975 to 1375 of the family's 1533-position model. The record is from RNAcentral.